This 520-nucleotide ribosomal RNA is filed under the name Nephrurus levis. RNAcentral describes it as "partial 16S ribosomal RNA". It matches the Rfam family "Bacterial large subunit ribosomal RNA", at positions 1809 to 2594 of the family's 2925-position model. Lineage: Eukaryota; Metazoa; Chordata; Lepidosauria; Squamata; Carphodactylidae. The record is from RNAcentral.
AAAAACAUAGCCUUUAGCCCCUCAAGUAUUAAAGGUCCCGCCUGCCCAGUGAACUGUUUAACGGCCGCGGUAUCCUAACCGUGCAAAGGUAGCGCAAUCACUUGUCCCCUAAAUAGGGACUCGUAUGAAUGGCUAAAUGAGGGCCCGACUGUCUCCAAGAGCCAAUCAAUGAAACUGAUCUCUCAGUACAAAAGCUGAAAUAAAAUCAUAAGACGAGAAGACCCUGUGGAGCUUUAGAACCAAGCCAUAUUCCCCAACCAUGGCCCAACUCUUCAGUUGGGGCGACUUUGGAGUAAACAAAACCUCCAAGCCAAGGCCCACCCUUAUCAAGGCCAACACGCCAAAACAACACUAUUUUGACCCAGCACACCUGAUCAACGAACCAAGUUACCCCAGGGAUAACAGCGCCAUCCUCUUCGAAAGUCCAUAUUUACAAGAGGGCUUACGACCUCGAUGUUGGAUCAGGACAUCCUAGCGGUGCAGCCGCUGCUAAGGGUUCGUUUGUUCAACGAUUAAUAGU